RNAcentral lists this ribosomal RNA (230 nucleotides) under uncultured microorganism. Its description in RNAcentral is "partial 16S ribosomal RNA". It matches the Rfam family "Bacterial small subunit ribosomal RNA", at positions 524 to 754 of the family's 1533-position model. The record is from RNAcentral.
UACGUAGGGGGCAAGCGUUAUCCGGAAUCACUGGGCGUAAAGGGUGCGUAGGCGGUCUUACAAGUCAGGGGUGAAAGGCUACGGCUCAACCGUAGUAAGCCUUUGAAACUGUAGGACUUGAGUGCAGGAGAGGAAAGUGGAAUUCCUAGUGUAGCGGUGAAAUGCGUAGAUAUUAGGAGGAACACCAGUGGCGAAGGCGACUUUCUGGACUGUAACUGACGCUGAGGCAC